RNAcentral lists this long non-coding RNA (1350 nucleotides) under Monodelphis domestica (gray short-tailed opossum). Its description in RNAcentral is "lncRNA (ENSMODG00000044230.1)". Lineage: Eukaryota; Metazoa; Chordata; Mammalia; Didelphimorphia; Didelphidae. The record is from RNAcentral.
GGGAAAAAAAUUCCUUAGUCAGGAAUGUAUGUGAGAACUUUACAUUACUCCACCCAUACUUAGGCAUACUUUAGGGGAAGAUAAAGUUGUAAACUCCUGUUGAAACAAUGAGAAAAAGUCCCCAACCCAUACUUAUAGUGAGGCCAAGCCCUUAAGCUAGGUCUAUUUUUAGAUCUAAUACAAAAGGGUGCUAAGUACCUAUGAAGGUUAAAUUAAUCACUAAAAGGUCAAGCAACUUACAAAGGGCAAACAUAGCAAAGAGGUGUGAAGUACUCAGAAGAUAUAAUCUACCCAGAGAAGGUGAGAACUAGAGUGGUGAAAACAAAGAAUGGGCAAUCCUAGGAAAAGCGUCUACUGUGAUUGGUAGAUGUGAAAACUUAGGGGAGGUGACACAAGAGAAAAUUUUCUUUAAAAAGAAGGAGCUUGAGGGCUCUGAAGGGAGUUCAGCUCUGAAAGCUGGAUUGGAUGGUCUCUCUCAACACUGGAGUUUUGCUUGGAACAAUCUUGUGGAAUUAUUGGCUCUGAGUGACAAAGGUGGUUCACUGAGGACUCUGAAGUUUUAUGACAGUUUCAUCAAUACCUUAAAGCUUGAGGUUAUGGAUGAGGUCCUGCACCAGGGUGGUGGCUUUGUGGAUUGAGAAAAUAAGACAUAUAUGACAAGACUUGGCAACAUACUUCCUAUAUGGGGUUUUAGACAUCUAAUCCAAAAGAACAUUCAUGAUACAAGACUAGAACUCAAGAGUUCCUAGGACUGGAUAUAAGAGAUCUAAUAAUCAUCUUCAUAGACAAGGCAAUUGAAUCCAUGUGAACAGAUGAAAUCACCAACUGAGACAAGAUAGAGUGUCUGGAGAAGAAAUGGAAUCUUAAAAAUUAAGAAUUUAAAGGAACCUCAAAAUGAGCUAGUACAAAGGUUCUUAACCUGGAGUCCAUAAAAUUAAAAAAAAUUCUUAUGAUAAUAUUUUAAUGUAAUUGUCCUUUGUAGUCACAUGUAUUUCAUUUUAUGCAUUCCAAAACAUUAUUCUAAGUAGCUCAUACUUCCCCAGAUUGAUAAAAGAGAUCCAUGACACAAAAAUUUAAGAAUCCCUGAUCAUCCAAGAUACCUCUAACCAUUUAGAGAAAUUAGCCAGCAAAACAUGUCAAGGUUUUUAUCAAUUAAAGCAGAAAUUUUCAAAGUGUGGAUAUGCCUUAUUUUUUGAAAGGAAACAAAAUACUCUGGGACUACCAAGAAGUGUGUGCAUGCAUAUACAUGCAUAUGUGUAGUGAAGCAAUAGCCAAAAUUAUUUGAUAUCUUUUGUUACAGUUCUCAAACCAACAUAUGUACCCCUUUCAAUAAAAAUUUGAAAUCAAACA